GACGGACCGUACAAACGUUAUCCGGAUUCACUGGGCGUAAAGGGUGCGCAGGCGGCUACGUGUGUGAGGCGUGAAAGCCUGAAGCUUAACUUCAGAAUUGCACCUCAAACUAUGUGGCUAGAGCAUUGGAGAGGGUAGCAGAAUUCACGGUGUAGCAGUGAAAUGCGUAGAUAUCGUGAGGAAUACCAGAGGCGAAGGCGGCUACCUGGACAAUUGCUGACGCUCAGGCACGAAAGCGUGGGGAGCAAAAGGG
RNAcentral lists this ribosomal RNA (253 nucleotides) under uncultured bacterium. RNAcentral describes it as "partial 16S ribosomal RNA". It matches the Rfam family "Bacterial small subunit ribosomal RNA", at positions 524 to 776 of the family's 1533-position model. The record is from RNAcentral.